GUAAAAUUAACACUGCAUAAUCAAGUUUCCUACUCAGUAGCUAAGACAAAAGAAUCGAAUCAGUGCAGGCUGCAAAAUGCAAACUUUUUUUCAGUUCUGCAAACAUCAAAAUAUCACUAGCAAAGAGAAAAGCAUGUAAAUUAAGAAACAAGCGUACGCAAUAAGCCCUCGAUGUUCAUCUCCAUACGAAGCCAGCUCAACCAGAAGCCUUGUGCAAACCCGUGUUGACCAUACAACAAAAACUCCGGUUAGCACCUUGAUCACCAAACCACCAGGCAAAAACAGUGAUAGCGCGGAUAAUAUCACGAUGGGCAACAUACAAUAACCGAUCAAGCUAACACAUCUGUACAAAUUCAAGUUCCCAUUUCGACCAGCGAGCAUAUUAAACACUACAUAUAGAAACAUCGAAGCCAUUACAACCCAUCCCAGUAUUAUCCCAAAAUGGAUCUUUCCAGCUAGCAAUUGAAACAAUCCAAACGCCAUUAGAAAUAUAAAUGGUCCAGAAAGGUCACCAUCUUCGUGAAGAUCUGGUUUGAUUCGAAAUGGGUUGAGUAUUGAAAGAGUCUUCUGGUAAAUUUGCUUUGUA
Molecule: unclassified non-coding RNA, 586 nt
Filed under: Hevea brasiliensis (rubber tree)
Lineage: Eukaryota; Viridiplantae; Streptophyta; Magnoliopsida; Malpighiales; Euphorbiaceae
Source: RNAcentral